RNAcentral lists this transfer RNA (73 nucleotides) under Blattella germanica (German cockroach). RNAcentral describes it as "tRNA-Val (AAC) (tRNA-Val-AAC-6-1)". The record is from RNAcentral. Lineage: Eukaryota; Metazoa; Arthropoda; Insecta; Blattodea; Blattellidae.
GUUUCCGUGGUGUAGUGGUUAUCACACCCGCUUAACACGCGGAAGGUCCCCGGUUCAAUCCCGGGCGGAAACA